This 207-nucleotide ribosomal RNA is filed under the name uncultured bacterium. RNAcentral describes it as "partial 16S ribosomal RNA". It matches the Rfam family "Bacterial small subunit ribosomal RNA", at positions 568 to 774 of the family's 1533-position model. The record is from RNAcentral.
CUCGUAGGCGGUCUGUCGCGUCGGCUGUGAAAACCCGGGGCUCAACCCCGGGCCUGCAGUCGAUACGGGCAGACUAGAGUGCGGUAGGGGAGACUGGAAUUCCUGGUGUAGCGGUGAAAUGCGCAGAUAUCAGGAGGAACACCGGUGGCGAAGGCGGGUCUCUGGGCCGUAACUGACGCUGAGGAGCGAAAGCGUGGGGAGCGAACA